Molecule: ribosomal RNA, 218 nt
Filed under: uncultured bacterium
Lineage: Bacteria
Description: partial 16S ribosomal RNA
Rfam family: Bacterial small subunit ribosomal RNA
Source: RNAcentral
AAUGACGGUAUCUGGGGAAUAAGCAUCGGCUAACUCUGUGCCAACAGCCGCGGUAAUACAGAGGAUGCAAGCGUUAUCCGGAAUGAUUGGGCAUAAAGCGUCUGUAGGUGGCUAUUUAAGUCCGCCGUCAAAUCCCAGGGCGCAACCCUGGACAGGCGGUGGAAACUACCAAGCUGUAGUACGGUAGGGGCAGAGGGAAUUUCCGGUGGAGCGGUGAA